GGAGCCGUAGCGCAGUUGGUAGCGCGCCUGAUUUGGGAUCAGGAGGCCACCAGUUCGAGCCUGGUCGGUUCCA
This 73-nucleotide transfer RNA is filed under the name Caudoviricetes sp. Its description in RNAcentral is "tRNA-Pro". It matches the Rfam family "tRNA". From Rfam's summary of the family: Transfer RNA (tRNA) molecules are approximately 80 nucleotides in length. Their secondary structure includes four short double-helical elements and three loops (D, anti-codon, and T loops). Lineage: Duplodnaviria; Heunggongvirae; Uroviricota; Caudoviricetes. The record is from RNAcentral.